UACAGAGGGUGCGAGCGUUGUCCGGAAUCACUGGGCGUAAAGGGCGCGUAGGUGGCCUGGUAAGUAGGGGGUGAAAUCUCGCGGCUCAACUGCGAGGCUGCCUCCUAAACUGUCAGGCUCGAGCAGAGUAGAGGCAGGUGGAAUUCCCGGUGUAGCGGUGGAAUGCGUAGAGAUCGGGAAGAACAUCGGUGGCGAAGGCGGCCUGCUGGGCUCUUGCUGACACUGAGACACGAAGGCCAGGGGAGCAAACGGG
This 253-nucleotide ribosomal RNA is filed under the name uncultured bacterium. Its description in RNAcentral is "partial 16S ribosomal RNA". It matches the Rfam family "Bacterial small subunit ribosomal RNA", at positions 524 to 776 of the family's 1533-position model. The record is from RNAcentral.